Molecule: long non-coding RNA, 286 nt
Filed under: Elaeis guineensis (African oil palm)
Lineage: Eukaryota; Viridiplantae; Streptophyta; Magnoliopsida; Arecales; Arecaceae
Description: long non-coding RNA (EGUI_LNC055593)
Source: RNAcentral
UCCUUUUCCCACCACAUCUCCAUCAUUCUCAUCUUUCCAUUUCUUCCUUCUGACCCCACCACCCACAGCAAUUCUCAAACACUCGAUUUCCCGCCAAACACCCAUAUAUAUCCCUCCGCUCGGCUCUUCCUUGCUUACAGUCAUCACUUCUAAACUUUCAUUGCUUGAAUUAUAAGCUUUUAAAGCUUUGAACCAAAGCCAUGGCCACCUUGCCUGCUCCCUCUUUAUCACUUGCCACCCUCACCCUCUCUCUCCUUCUCUUGUUCCACUCCUCUGCAGCCACCCC